GAUUUCCGAAUGGGGGAACCCACUACGUUUAAUCGCGUAGUAUCUUGACGUGAAUACAUAGCGUCUUGAUGGCAGACCCAGGGAACUGAAACAUCUAAGUACCUGGAGGAAGAGAAAGAAAAAUCGAUUCCCUGAGUAGCGGCGAGCGAAACGGGAAGAGCCCAAACCAAGAGGCUUGCCUCUUGGGGGUGUAGGACACUCUAUACGGAGUUACAAAAGAGCGAGUUAGAUGAAGCGACUUGGAAAGGUCCGCCAGAGCAGGUAAAAGCCCUGUAGUCGAAAGUUCGUUCUCUCCUGAGUGGAUCCUGAGUACGGCGGAACACGUGAAAUUCCGUCGGAAUCCGGGAGGACCAUCUCCCAAGGCUAAAUACUACCUAGUGACCGAUAGUGAACCAGUACCGUGAGGGAAAGGUGAAAAGCACCCCGGAAGGGGAGUGAAAGAGAUCCUGAAACCGUGUGCCUACAAGUAGUUAGAGCCCGUUAAUGGGUGAUAGCGUGCCUUUUGUAGAAUGAACCGGCGAGUUACGAUUACGUGCAAGGUUAAGCUUUAGAAGGCGGAGCCGCAGCGAAAGCGAGUCUGAAUAGGGCGAAUUAGUACGUG
RNAcentral lists this ribosomal RNA (601 nucleotides) under Lysinibacillus xylanilyticus. RNAcentral describes it as "bacterial LSU rRNA". It matches the Rfam family "Bacterial large subunit ribosomal RNA", at positions 109 to 705 of the family's 2925-position model. The record is from RNAcentral. Lineage: Bacteria; Bacillati; Bacillota; Bacilli; Caryophanales; Bacillaceae.